UUACGGCCACAUCACAUUGAAAUACUGGACCCCAUACAAUCACUGAAGUUAAGCAACAUUGAGCCUGGUCAGUACCUAGAUGGGUGACUGAAUACCAGGUGCUGUAAG
Molecule: non-coding RNA, 108 nt
Organism: Acanthosepion pharaonis
Lineage: Eukaryota; Metazoa; Mollusca; Cephalopoda; Sepiida; Sepiidae
Source: the annotation of a GenBank genome assembly